This 253-nucleotide ribosomal RNA is filed under the name uncultured bacterium. RNAcentral describes it as "partial 16S ribosomal RNA". It matches the Rfam family "Bacterial small subunit ribosomal RNA", at positions 524 to 776 of the family's 1533-position model. The record is from RNAcentral.
UACGUAGGGGGCAAGCGUUGUCCAGAUUUAUUGGGCGUAAAGAGCGUGUAGGCGGCCAGGUAGGUCCGUUGUGAAAACUGGAGGCUUAACCUCCAGCUGUCGAUGGAAACCAUCUGGCUAGAGUCCGGAAGAGGAGAGUGGAAUUCCUGGUGUAGCGGUGAAAUGCGCAGAUAUCAGGAAGAACACCCGUGGCGAAGGCGGCUCUCUGGGACGGUACUGACGCUGAGGCGCGAAAGCGUGGGGAGCAAACAGG